GGCUGGGGAUGCAGAUCAGUGGUAGAGUGCUUGCCAGCAUGCCUGAGGCCCUGGGUUCAAUUCCCAGUCCCCCCC
Molecule: transfer RNA, 75 nt
Filed under: Marmota monax (woodchuck)
Lineage: Eukaryota; Metazoa; Chordata; Mammalia; Rodentia; Sciuridae
Description: tRNA.Undet
Source: RNAcentral